AUGCCUGGAGUUACUGUAAAAGACGUUGACCAGCAGUUCUUCAGAGCUCUGGCAGCCUUCCUCAAAAAGUCCGGGAAGCUGAAAGUCCCCGAAUCAAGUCAAGCUGGCCAAACAUAAAGAGCUCUACACAUGAGCUGCUUCCACAGCACAGCACCUGUACCUCCGCGGUGGUGCUGGGGUUGGUUCCAUGACCAAGAUCUAUGGAGGACGGCAGAGAAAUGGUGUCAGACCCAGCCACUUCAGCAGAGGCUCUAAGAGUGUGGCCCGCCGGGUCCUCCAAGCCCUGGAGGGGCUGAAAAUGGUGGAAAAGGACCAAGAUGGGGGCCGCAAGCUAACACCUCAGGGACAGAGAGAUCUGGACAGGAUUGCUGGACAGGUGGCAGCUGCCAACAAGAAGCAUUAG
RNAcentral lists this long non-coding RNA (403 nucleotides) under Mus musculus (house mouse). RNAcentral's name for it is "long non-coding RNA chr15:37868085-37868488". The record is from RNAcentral. Lineage: Eukaryota; Metazoa; Chordata; Mammalia; Rodentia; Muridae.